This 497-nucleotide ribosomal RNA is filed under the name uncultured bacterium. Its description in RNAcentral is "partial 16S ribosomal RNA". It matches the Rfam family "Bacterial small subunit ribosomal RNA", at positions 28 to 507 of the family's 1533-position model. The record is from RNAcentral.
GAUGAACGCUGGCGGCGUGCCUAAUACAUGCAAGUCGAGCGAACAGACGAGGAGCUUGCUCCUCUGACGUUAGCGGCGGACGGGUGAGUAACACGUGGAUAACCUACCUAUAAGACUGGGAUAACUUCGGGAAACCGGAGCUAAUACCGGAUAAUAUAUUGAACCGCAUGGUUCAAUAGUGAAAGACGGUUUUGCUGUCACUUAUAGAUGGAUCCGCGCCGCAUUAGCUAGUUGGUAAGGUAACGGCUUACCAAGGCAACGAUGCGUAGCCGACCUGAGAGGGUGAUCGGCCACACUGGAACUGAGACACGGUCCAGACUCCUACGGGAGGCAGCAGUAGGGAAUCUUCCGCAAUGGGCGAGAGCCUGACGGAGCAACGCCGCGUGAGUGAUGAAGGUCUUCGGAUCGUAAAACUCUGUUAUUAGGGAAGAACAAAUGUGUAAGUAACUAUGCACGUCUUGACGGUACCUAAUCAGAAAGCCACGGCUAGCUACGUG